AUAAAAAAAAAAAAAGUAGUGAUAUUCCUUCCAUCUAUAGCCUCAUCUCACGGAUCUUGCCCUUCAAUUUCUUUAAAUCCCCUCACCUUUGCCUUCCAAUUUUUCAAUAAUCUUUUAUUUAAUUCCAAAAAUACAUACACAUAAUAAUCCUCUUCAUUGAAGUAUAUAAGACCUAGAAUAUAGAGUAGUUAUUAGCAAGCUAAGGAGGCUCAAUAAGGCAUCAACUUGGUUCAUCAAAGGCUUCUUCAUUUAUUAUUACAUCAAACUAGAGUUAAAGGCUCAAUAUCCAAAUAUGGCGUCUUGGAAGAAAACCAUCACAACCCCAUUCAAAAAAGCUCGCACUUUCUUUAACCAGCAACCACCGAGGGACCACCAUCAUAAUAAGAAGUCUCAAACAGAACAAGAGAACCGUGUUGUGAUGGAUCUGCACGGUGAAGUCAUGGCUUGUGGCUAUGAAGAUGUUCAAGUUAUGUGGUCAAUUCUUGAUAAGUCCAAAUCCAACACCUGCAAUAUAACAUCCUCAUAACAAGAAUUAAAAGGAAAAAAUAGUAGCUUGAGUCAAAAUUGCAAUCAUACUAGCUUGAGUUAGCUAUUUAUAGCUGUGAAGAAUGACUCUGGAAUCUGGUAUGAAAGUAAUUAUUCUCAUUGUAGAAAAAUGAAAAAAAAAAUUUGUAAUGUGUUAUUAGUAGGAGUUUAAUUUGAUAGGAUAUUAGUGCCCCUUGUCUUUUGAUGAUGAUGGUGGUGGCACUUUCACUCUGUAAUGAUUUUUGCAAGUGAAGAUGUUAUUGUAAUAGGCAAUCCCCAUGAUUGGUUAGUGCAAAAUCAUGGUGAGAUUUUUUAUGAAAAUGUAGGUCCCUUCUCUCUAUCUCUCUCUCUCUCUCUUAUUUGCAACCCUCAAGUUUCAUCCUUUUUGGUAAUCAUUUUUCUCUUUGCAUCUUGUCACUUUUGAUGGUUCUGUUGAGCAUGACUAUUUAAAUGAUUCUACAUGAGAUCUUAUAUGUCAUGAUUUCAUUGCCAGAAGAAUCAGUUAGCAAAACUUAAAAGGUUUAACUACUCUCUCUAUAUAUCUAUAUUUUACUCAACUUGUAAUUGCAUUUGUUAUAAUUUAAAUUUGCUAAUAUCUCCGUAUAUAGAUAAUACAAAAAGAAAUCUGAUUUAAGUUCAUAUUCCAAAGCAUCAGACUAACUUUAGAAGAUACAAUUAUUUUACUUGGAGACCUCUAUACUUAUCAAGUUGUCUCUCAAUUAUUUUCUUUUCUCUGAGUACAUGUGUUUAUUAGUUAAAUAAUCUAGUCAAAUAUAUUCCAAAUAACUAAGUCAAAUUCGGUAAUUUAGUUGGAGAAAUAGAAUAUAUAUUUGGAUUUAAUUCUUUUCUUUUUUUGUCAACUAAAAUCCUAUGCUUCUUGCAUACACAAAAAAAAAAACCCCUACCAGUGGAACAAAGCCCAGAGUUGCCUUGCAACUUUAUAACAAAAGUGUGUGUAGACUGUCCUUACCAAAAAAAAAAAAGUGUGUGUACACUGUAGAUAGACAGGCAUAUAAAUUUGAGAUAUAAUUAUUUAAAAUUAGAGGUAGUCCAGUCUCUCAGACAAAAGUAACACACAUAUAUUUUCUGGGUCCAUCUAGUAUACAGACGUAUUUUUGUACAGAUUUACAAAUUUUUGUUUUUAUUGCAUUUUUUGUGAACGCGUGGCGUUUCUCUUUGGCUGAAAGCAGGUAGGUGUGAGGAAGCUGGCGAGGCUCAUUAGAGGUUUGGGUGAGCCGGCUGGAUAGCGUGAGUGAGAACGGGAUUUUGCUGUUAAGGGUUCCGUUGGUGCCUUUGUUGGGCCUUUUGGUUUGUUCCCAAAAAAGAGUGGGUAUAAUCCAAGAAGUGGGUUCUCUCGGUCAGUCUUCUCCUCCCAUCAAAGGAAACCCUAUCACCGUUAACGAAGAACGCCACCGCAAGUCUCGUAACUCUCUCUGUGCUCGGCGAUUGGCUACUGCAUCUGUUCCGGGUGCUCCCUCCUGUUCAACGAGUUAUCCACGGACGCCAAUCUCCAGGUUAUGCCUCAUACCCAGAGAUCCGUAGUGCUCACGGAAGUCGUGUUGGUCCGGUGCGCCAGUUGCGCAGUCAAUCCUGUUGCUGGUCCUCCACCGUGCUUGGCAGUCGAACGUAACAGUUGCUCGGCCCACUGAAUGAUCAGCUUUGAGUGUUGGCAUCGAAACGUGAUCAGGGUACUUUCCUCCAACAAUUUCACAGGAGAGCUACCUGCAACAGUUGCCAACCUCAGUUACUUACAGUAUAUUUUACCUGGCGAUAAUCACUUCUGUGGAAAGAUUCCUGAUUUUAUUGAGAGCUGGAGAAGUCUCAAAAUAUUAAAAAUUACAGGAAGUGGACUAAGUGGGCCGAUUCCUUCUGGUAUUUCAAAAUUGAGCAACUUAAGUGACUGGGGAUCAAGUGAUUUGAGUGGAUCUGAAAUUUCAAGUUUCCCCGAACUUAGUACUAAGUCGAUGAAAUGUCUGUGAGUAGUUGAUAUGUUUGAAUCUUUAAAAAGUGGAAAGUAAAAAUAAUGAAAAAAAAAAGGUUAUUCACAGUACCAUGAUUGUGUUUGUGAUGAUUUCACAGGAUUUUAAGGAGUAGCAACAUUCAUGGAACACUUUAAAGGAUCUAGAACUGCGACAAUAAUAUGUGAGACAUAAAAAAUGACUAGUUUAUUAUGGAGUCUUGGCUAAUUUAGAGGCUGUUAACAUAUUCUUGAUUAUUUAUCUUUUUGAUUGUUUUAUAUGCUAUCAGUUAAAUUUACUUCUUAAAAGGUUUCUUUAUAGCGUUUGUUUGAUGAACAGCUUCCUUUAUUUUGUUGCCUCUUCCAUUUAUUGGGAAUGACCUUCUAUCCCUUGUAUAUACUAUAAGAUCCCCUUUGCGUCAAAAAGAGUGAGCUGUUGUGAAACUAAGGAGUUGUACCACCCUAUUAAG
Molecule: non-coding RNA, 2952 nt
Organism: Arachis ipaensis
Lineage: Eukaryota; Viridiplantae; Streptophyta; Magnoliopsida; Fabales; Fabaceae
Source: RefSeq, a predicted model, not a curated record